UUGGAGGGCAAGUCUGGUGCCAGCAGCCGCGGUAAUUCCAGCUCCAAUAGCGUAUAUUAAAGUUGUUGCAGUUAAAAAGCUCGUAGUUGAAUUUCAGGCCUGGCUGGACGGUCCGCCCUUCGGGUGAGUACUGUCUGUGGUCGGGUCCUACCUUCUGGCGAAGCGUCAUGGCCUUAACCGGCCGUGGCGGGGAACCAGGACUUUUACUGUGAAAAAAUUAGAGUGUUCAAAGCAGGCAAAUCGCUUGGAUACAUUAGCAUGGAAUAAUGGAAUAGGACAAUGGUUCUAUUUGUUGGUUUCUAGGACCGUUGUAAUGAUUAAUAGGGAUAGUUGGGGGCAUUAGUAUUCAAUUGUCAGAGGUGAAAUUCUUGGAUUUAUUGAAGACUAACUACUGCGAAAGCAUUUGCCAAGGAUGUUUUCAUUAAUCAAGAACGAAAGUUAGGGGAUCGAAGACGAUCAGAUACCGUCGUAGUCUUAACCAUAAGCUAUGCCGACUAGGGAUCGGACGAUGUUAAAUUUUAUUGACUCG
RNAcentral lists this ribosomal RNA (529 nucleotides) under uncultured Paraglomeraceae. RNAcentral describes it as "SSU rRNA". It matches the Rfam family "Eukaryotic small subunit ribosomal RNA", at positions 548 to 1078 of the family's 1831-position model. The record is from RNAcentral. Lineage: Eukaryota; Fungi; Glomeromycota; Glomeromycetes; Paraglomerales.